GUAGGUCACGAGCGUUGUCCGGAAUUACUGGGUGUAAAGGGAGCGCAGGCGGGUAUGCAAGUUGGGAGUGAAAUACAUGGGCUCAACCCAUGAACUGCUCUCAAAACUGUGUAUCUUGAGUAGUGCAGAGGUAGGCGGAAUUCCCGGUGUAGCGGUGGAAUGCGUAGAUAUCGGGAGGAACACCAGUGGCGAAGGCGGCCUACUGGGCACCAACUGACGCUGAGGCUCGAAAGUGUGGGUAGCAAACAGGAUUAGAUACCCUGGUAGUCCACACCGUAAACGAUGAUUACUAGGUGUUGGAGGAUAGACCCCUUCAGUGCCGCAGUUAACACAAUAAGUAAUCCACCUGGGG
RNAcentral lists this ribosomal RNA (352 nucleotides) under uncultured bacterium. RNAcentral describes it as "bacterial SSU rRNA". It matches the Rfam family "Bacterial small subunit ribosomal RNA", at positions 527 to 878 of the family's 1533-position model. The record is from RNAcentral.